GAUGAACGCUGGCGGCGUGCCUAAUACAUGCAAGUCGAGCGAACAGACGAGGAGCUUGCUCCUCUGACGUUAGCGGCGGACGGGUGAGUAACACGUGGAUAACCUACCUAUAAGACUGGGAUAACUUCGGGAAACCGGAGCUAAUACCGGAUAAUAUAUUGAACCGCAUGGCUCAAUAGUGAAAGACGGUUUUGCUGUCACUUAUAGAUGGAUCCGCGCCGCAUUAGCUAGUUGGUAAGGUAACGGCUUACCAAGGCAACGAUGCGUAGCCGACCUGAGAGGGUGAUCGGCCACACUGGAACUGAGACACGGUCCAGACUCCUACGGGAGGCAGCAGUAGGGAAUCUUCCGCAAUGGGCGAAAGCCUGACGGAGCAACGCCGCGUGAGUGAUGAAGGUCUUCGGAUCGUAAAACUCUGUUAUUAGGGAAGAACAAAUGUGUAAGUAACGAUGCACGUCUUGACGGGACCUAAUCAGAAAGCCACGGCUAACUACGU
This 496-nucleotide ribosomal RNA is filed under the name uncultured bacterium. RNAcentral describes it as "partial 16S ribosomal RNA". It matches the Rfam family "Bacterial small subunit ribosomal RNA", at positions 28 to 506 of the family's 1533-position model. The record is from RNAcentral.